GCAGCCUGGGAUAUUGGAGACCCUGUCCCCCAAAGGAAUAACAGCUCCGGACAACACACCCUGUUGUGGUGGAGAAUGCUGGAGUGUGAGGCGAGCCUGCAAGGUGUCACUGCUUGAUGCUCAAUGGAGAAAUGGACAGGACUGGGUCUUCGGGGCGGAAGGCCUUCCUGGAUCUGCAGAGGUGUGGAACCAGUGUUUACAUGCCUGGGGUGCUGCUCCCUAACAGGAGGAUGGCUUGGAUCCCUUCACUUCACACAGAGAGACCCACUUCUUACCUGUCCAGACACCAGGAAGCCCAGGAGCAAAAAUGACCGAGUUUGGCAUGGUGAGUCCUAACUUCCUCCACUGGUCUUUGCACCCUCCUGGUGGAGCUAAGUCCUUUGUGUGGCAUGAUAGUGGGCCCAUCACACGUGUGCAGAGAAUGAAGACAGCCACAGUGACAUGCUGAGCAUUUAUUAUGCAUCAACAGCCUUCAGCCACUCUUUGCCUUCAGGUCACAGGAAGAAAAGCACUGCCUGGCCUGCUGGCUGGGUUUUCCUUCCGGUACCUUGUUUCCAGUGGUCCGCCAGGGUGUGGCCACGGCCCUGCCGAGUUUUGCAGCAUCCCAGGGAAGACCACACUGAAUUCCUGUGCUCCGCUCUGCCGGCCUUCUCCAGGCACAGGCCUGGUCUCCUUGCGGACAGAGUCUGAGCUGCAGAUCAGUCUGGGAAACGUGAGUCUCCGGCAGAAUUCAGCGCUGGGGAAACCGCUGCGAAAUUGCUCCCUUCCUUCUCUGGAAGCCGGUGGACAAGAGAGCAUUGUGUAGGGUCAGGGCCCUCCUGUCACAAAGGGGCCUUUCAGAGAAGCUGAUGGGGCGGGCAGGACCCCGGCAGCCUCGGCUCCUGGGGACAUGCCCUAUCUUCCAUGUGCACAUGCCUGUGGAUGUGUGUGUGUGUGCAUAUGUGUGAAUUGUGCAUGUGUGCACACAUGUAUAUGUGUAUUUGUGCACACUUGUAUGCUGGGGACAGAGAGCUGUGUGUCUGUGCAUUCCCUGUAAGCAGGGUAGAACAGAGCACCGGCACAUUUCUCUCUUAGGACGUGGUUUCCCCGUAGGAGAAGGACCAGGCACGUUGGGAUGGGUAGACGGGCGUGACUGGCUCCCUGAAAGGCACAAGCGAGGCUGCCAAGCUCUGAGCUCCCAGCCAGGUGUGGGGGCAGGAUUGCGCUCCCCUGGCCUUGUGGACUCUGGAUCAGUCAGCCGUGGGAGAAGCUCCCCAUUCAAAUACUCCGCCACCCCGGGAAGAGGCGGACACUCGCUCCUGAGGGAGGGAGGGCACCUGGGAUGAGAGGAGGCUUGGAUUUUCCUGAGGGUGAACACUGGGUGCACGCCGUGUGCGCAUACGGGUGUGCCUGUAGCGCUCCAGGGAAGCUGUGCAGCGUAAUUGCUUUCUGCAGAGCAUGCCCCGCUGUAUAAUUAAGCUGCACGCCGGCGGCUGCCAGCACAGAAAUGAUGCCGUGUGCACUUGGUGAUCGCUCUGUCUCUUUCCUUGAACAAAAUGCUGCUUCCGUUUCCCAUACAAAAUGGUUCCCAGACCAGGAGAAAAGACAGCCUUCCCUGCGGCCUUGGCAAGACGGCGGCUUCUGGGAAGCAAAGAUGGAGGGUGGGAGAGAGGGGAUGCCCUCGAAGUGCAGUGGCUGAGCUUCUGUGCUUCAGCACCGAGGAAAAGUGCACUGGCCUCGCCAACUUCUCACGGUGCACAUCCUUGCUAUCUGGCCCAAUCUGGCCCUACGAAGACGAACAGAAAUUACUCCGAAUAUCCAAACCACUCAAGCAGUGGGGUGGAGGCACAGGCUGCCUUGGGACUGGUCCAGAGUGAAGUUGCUUCAUGGUCUACCCAUGAGGCCACACAGGAGACAUAGGGCCCAUUCCAGGAGGGACUGGGAAGGACAUGAAGGGAGUGUGGGCUGCAUUCUCCUUCACCAGACUGGAAAGAGUUGACACAAAUUUCAGAGCUACCCAAAGCGUUUUUGGGAAGUACUUGGUUUUUUGUUUUGUUUUGUUUUUUUAAUUACUUUUUUUUAAAAAAAAGUACUUUAAUAAAAUUGUUCCAUUAUGGCUGUGUGCUUUAGCA
Long non-coding RNA from Meriones unguiculatus (Mongolian gerbil), 2111 nucleotides. NCBI's taxonomy places the organism in Eukaryota, Metazoa, Chordata, Mammalia, Rodentia, Muridae. The record is from Ensembl.